UCCAGCUCCAAUAGCGUAUAUUAAAGUUGUUGCGGUAAAAAAGCUCGUAGUUGGAUUUCUGUUGAGAACAACCGGUCCACACAACGUGUGCGCAUCUGGCUUGGUCUCGGCAUCCUCUCGCAGCACUGCUCUGCGCUUGAUUGCGUGGACAGGACUUCGGGACUUUUACUUUGAGGAAAUUAGAGUGUUCACGGCAGGCUAUCGCCAGGAUACAUUAGCAUGGAAUAAUACUAUAGGAUCUUGAUCCUAUUUUGUUGGUUUCUAGGAGCAAGAUAAUGAUUAAUAGGGACAAUUGGGGGCAUUCGUAUCAACACGUCAGAGGUGGAAUUCUUGGAUUGUGUUGCGACGAACUACUGCGAAAGCAUUUGCCAAGGAUGUUUUCAUUGAUCAAGAACGAAAGUUAGGGGAUCGAAGAUGAUUAGAUACCGUCGUAGUCUUAACCAUAAACUAUGCCAACUAGAGAUGGGACAUCGUUCACAUACGACUUGUUCCGCACCUUAUGAGAUAUCAAAGUCUUUGGGUUCCGGGGGGAGUAUGGUCGCAAGUCUGAAACUUAAAGGAAUUGACGGAAGGGCACCACCAGGAGUGGAGCCUGCGGCUUAAUUUGACUCAACACGGGGAAACUCACCAGGUCCAGACAUAAUAAGGAUUGACAGAUUGAUAGCUCUUUCUUGAUUUUAUGGGUGGUGGUGCAUGGCCGUUCUUAGUUCGUGGAGUGAUUUGUCUGCUUAAUUGCGUUAACGAACGAGACCUUAACCUGCUAAAUAGGAGCGCAUAUCUCCGGAUAAGCGCCUUUCUUCUUAGAGGGACUUUAUGCGUUUCAGCAUGAGGAAGUUUGAGGCUAAAAC
This 848-nucleotide ribosomal RNA is filed under the name uncultured eukaryote. RNAcentral describes it as "SSU rRNA". It matches the Rfam family "Eukaryotic small subunit ribosomal RNA", at positions 584 to 1457 of the family's 1831-position model. The record is from RNAcentral.